AACGAACGCUGGCGGCAGGCUUAACACAUGCAAGUCGAACGGUUGUAGCAAUACAGCAGUGGCAGACGGGUGAGUAACACGUGGGAACCUUCCUAGGGGUACGGAACAACUCAGGGAAACUUGAGCUAAUACCGUAUACGUCCGUGAGGAGAAAGAUUUUAUCGCCCUUAGACGGGCCCGCGUCGGAUUAGCUAGUUGGUGGGGUAACGGCCUACCAAGGCGACGAUCCGUAGCUGAUCUUAGAGGAUGAUCAGCCACACUGGGACUGAGACACGGCCCAGACUCCUACGGGAGGCAGCAGUGGGGAAUCUUGGACAAUGGGCGCAAGCCUGGUCCAGCCAUGCCGCGUGAGUGAAGAAGGUCUUCGGAUUGUAAAGCUCUUUUGCCAGGGACGAUAAUGACGGUACCUGGAGAAUAAGCCCCGGCAAACUUCGUG
RNAcentral lists this ribosomal RNA (436 nucleotides) under uncultured bacterium. Its description in RNAcentral is "bacterial SSU rRNA". It matches the Rfam family "Bacterial small subunit ribosomal RNA", at positions 29 to 507 of the family's 1533-position model. The record is from RNAcentral.